UACGGAGGGGACUAGCGUUGUUCGGAAUUACUGGGCGUAAAGCGCACGUAGGCGGAUUUGUAAGUCAGGGGUGAAAUCCCGGGGCUCAACCUCGGAACUGCCUUUGAUACUGCAAAUCUCGAGUCCGGAAGAGGUGAGUGGAAUUCCUAGUGUAGAGGUGAAAUUCGUAGAUAUUAGGAAGAACACCAGUGGCGAAGGCGGCAUCCUGGACCGGUAUUGACGCUGAGGCGCGAAAGCCAGGGGAGCAAACGGG
This 253-nucleotide ribosomal RNA is filed under the name uncultured bacterium. Its description in RNAcentral is "partial 16S ribosomal RNA". It matches the Rfam family "Bacterial small subunit ribosomal RNA", at positions 524 to 776 of the family's 1533-position model. The record is from RNAcentral.